This is a long non-coding RNA of Meriones unguiculatus (Mongolian gerbil), 804 nucleotides long. RefSeq lists it as uncharacterized. The transcript is spliced from 3 exons. NCBI's taxonomy places the organism in Eukaryota, Metazoa, Chordata, Mammalia, Rodentia, Muridae. The record is from RefSeq and is a predicted model, not a curated record.
GAUACUGCAGCUGGUUCUGGAGGGCAGAAGGGUAUCUGGUAUCCAGGCCAGAGGUGAAGCAGCGGGCCCCAGGCGACACAGCAGCAGUGCGGUUGCCGGGAAUGGCUUAAAGACGACUGAAUUCUGACCGGGAUUCCCUGAGCCCUUGGGAUCCCAGAGCUAUCUUCUCUGAAUUGAAAUACUCCCUCCUAGAGGGAGAGGGAGGCUCAAAACUCAGCAAGUCCAUGACACAAGGCUCAAGAAGCAAGAUUCACCAGGCCCCUCCCCAGGUUACAAUGGAUGGGUGAGGAGGCUCCGGGAGGUGCAACUUUAGAGAUGCUGCCUUGUGUCAGUGACUCUUCACCCAUGCUCUGUAAGGAAGCCCCAUAAACUCAUUGCUCUCUAAAUUGGGCUUUGGUGGAGUAGAUUAUGGAUGUUUUGUUUUGUUUUUUAACUUUGUAGACCAGGCUGGCCUGGAACUCACAGAGAUCCUGCCUCUGACACGGAACACUGGGAUUAAAGCUCUUCGACCUCGUGCUUGGUCUUCACCACCUCAGCCUCCAUGGAGUCCAGCCGGUUCUCCAAGCUGAGACUCUCCUCCUGGCGCACGGAGAAGGGGAAGGCCUGUGACCGCUGCCCCUGGCCGGAUUCGCCCUCCUCACCUGACUCUGUCUGCAAAGUCUUACCUGCAGGUACGGCUUCUCUGACUUCCACUCCUGAAUGAGUUCGUGGACCAUUUUCGUAUCUCCCUGCCAAGGAGAGGAGCCCAGUCACUUCCUCAGGCCUGGGGUUUGCCUCCCCAAGCCUGCCACUCACCUGUGCGCC